This 73-nucleotide transfer RNA is filed under the name Felis catus (domestic cat). It matches the Rfam family "tRNA". From Rfam's summary of the family: Transfer RNA (tRNA) molecules are approximately 80 nucleotides in length. Their secondary structure includes four short double-helical elements and three loops (D, anti-codon, and T loops). The record is from Rfam by way of RNAcentral. Lineage: Eukaryota; Metazoa; Chordata; Mammalia; Carnivora; Felidae. RNAcentral also lists the same sequence under 3 other names.
GCCUGGCUGGCUCAGUUGGCGGAGCAUGUGACUCUUAAUCUUGGGGCUGUGAGUUCGAGUUCCACGUUGGGUA